RNAcentral lists this ribosomal RNA (63 nucleotides) under Colletotrichum kahawae. RNAcentral's name for it is "partial 28S ribosomal RNA". Lineage: Eukaryota; Fungi; Ascomycota; Sordariomycetes; Glomerellales; Glomerellaceae. The record is from RNAcentral.
AAGGUUGACCUCGGAUCAGGUAGGAAUACCCGCUGAACUUAAGCAUAUCAAAAGGCGGAGGAA